This 1383-nucleotide ribosomal RNA is filed under the name uncultured bacterium. RNAcentral describes it as "16S ribosomal RNA". It matches the Rfam family "Bacterial small subunit ribosomal RNA". The record is from RNAcentral.
UUCGCCCUUAGAGUUUGAUCCUGGCUCAGGACGAACGCUGGCGGCGCGCCUAACACAUGCAAGUCGAACGGAGCUGAGAGGAGCUUGCUUUUCUCAGCUUAGUGGCGAACGGGUGAGUAACGCGUGAGUAACCUGCCCUGGAGUGGGGGACAACAGUUGGAAACGACUGCUAAUACCGCAUAAGCCCACGAUCCGGCAUCGGAUUGAGGGAAAAGGAUUUAUUCGCUUCAGGAUGGACUCGCGUCCAAUUAGCUAGUUGGUGAGGUAACGGCCCACCAAGGCGACGAUUGGUAGCCGGACUGAGAGGUUGAACGGCCACAUUGGGACUGAGACACGGCCCAGACUCCUACGGGAGGCAGCAGUGGGGGAUAUUGCACAAUGGGGGAAACCCUGAUGCAGCGACGCCGCGUGGAGGAAGAAGGUUUUCGGAUUGUAAACUCCUGUCGUUAGGGACGAUAAUGACGGUACCUAACAAGAAAGCACCGGCUAACUACGUGCCAGCAGCCGCGGUAAAACGUAGGGUGCAAGCGUUGUCCGGAAUUACUGGGUGUAAAGGGAGCGCAGGCGGACCGGCAAGUUGGAAGUGAAAACUAUGGGCUCAACCCAUAAAUUGCUUUCAAAACUGCUGGCCUUGAGUAGUGCAGAGGUAGAUGGAAUUCCCGGUGUAGCGGUGGAAUGCGUAGAUAUCGGGAGGAACACCAGUGGCGAAAGCGGCCUACUGGGCACCAACUGACGCUGAGGCUCGAAAGCAUGGGUAGCAAACAGGAUUAGAUACCCUGGUAGUCCAUGCCGUAAACGAUGAUUACUAGGUGUUGGGGGAUUGACCCCCUCAGUGCCGCAGUUAACACAAUAAGUAAUCCACCUGGGGAGUACGACCGCAAGGUUGAAACUCAAAGGAAUUGACGGGGGCCCGCACAAGCAGUGGAGUAUGUGGUUUAAUUCGAAGCAACGCGAAGAACCUUACCAGGUCUUGACAUCCGAUGCAUAGCACAGAGAUGUGUGAAAUCCUUCGGGACAUCGAGACAGGUGGUGCAUGGUUGUCGUCAGCUCGUGUCGUGAGAUGUUGGGUUAAGUCCCGCAACGAGCGCAACCCUUAUUGCCAGUUACUACGUUAAGAGGAUUCUGGCGAGACUGCCGUCGACAAAACGGAGGAAGGUGGGGAUGACGUCAAAUCAUCAUGCCCUUUAUGACCUGGGCUACACACGUACUACAAUGGCGUUAAACAAAGAGAAGCAAGACCGCGAGGUGGAGCAAAACUCAAAAACAACGUCUCAGUUCAGAUUGCAGGCUGCAACUCGCCUGCAUGAAGUCGGAAUUGCUAGUAAUCGCGGAUCAGCAUGCCGCGGUGAAUACGUUCCCGGGCCUUGUACACACCGCCCGUCA